UCCUUGAUUUAGCGGCGGACGGGUGAGUAAUGCCUAGGAAUCUGCCUGGUAGUGGGGGAUAACGUUCCGAAAGGAACGCUAAUACCGCAUACGUCCUACGGAAGAAAGCAGGGGACCUUCGGGCCUUGCGCUAUCAGAUGAGCCUAGGUCGGAUUAGCUAGUUGGUGAGGUAAUGGCUCACCAAGGCGACGAUCCGUAACUGGCCUGAGAGGAUGAUCAGUCACACUGGAACUGAGACACGGUCCAGACUCCUACGGGAGGCAGCAUUGUGGAAUAUUGUACAAUGGGCGAGAGCCUGAUCCAGCCAUGCCGCGUGUGUGAAGAAGGUCUUCGGAUUGUAAAGCACUUUAAGUUGGCAGGAAGGGCAGU
RNAcentral lists this ribosomal RNA (369 nucleotides) under Ectopseudomonas chengduensis. RNAcentral's name for it is "bacterial SSU rRNA". It matches the Rfam family "Bacterial small subunit ribosomal RNA", at positions 84 to 456 of the family's 1533-position model. Lineage: Bacteria; Pseudomonadati; Pseudomonadota; Gammaproteobacteria; Pseudomonadales; Pseudomonadaceae. The record is from RNAcentral.